This 488-nucleotide ribosomal RNA is filed under the name uncultured bacterium. RNAcentral's name for it is "partial 16S ribosomal RNA". It matches the Rfam family "Bacterial small subunit ribosomal RNA", at positions 28 to 507 of the family's 1533-position model. The record is from RNAcentral.
GACGAACGCUGGCGGCGUGCUUAACACAUGCAAGUCGAACGGAAAGGCCCUGCUUUUGUGGGGUGCUCGAGUGGCGAACGGGUGAGUAACACGUGAGUAACCUGCCCUUGACUUUGGGAUAACUUCAGGAAACUGGGGCUAAUACCGGAUAGGAGCUCCUGCUGCAUGGUGGGGGUUGGAAAGUUUCGGCGGUUGGGGAUGGACUCGCGGCUUAUCAGCUAGUUGGUGGGGUAAAGGCCUACCAAGGCGACGAUCCGUAACUGGUCUGAGAGGAUGAUCAGUCACACUGGAACUGAGACACGGUCCAGACUCCUACGGGAGGCAGCAGUGGGGAAUAUUGGACAAAGGGCGAAAGCCUGAUCCAGCCAUGCCGCGUGUGUGAAGAAGGUCUUCGGAUUGUAAAGCACUUUAAGUUGGGAGGAAGGGCAGUAAGUUAAUACCUUGCUGUUUUGACGUUACCAACAGAAUAAGCACCGGCUAACUUCGUG